This 82-nucleotide transfer RNA is filed under the name Candidatus Kaiserbacteria bacterium. RNAcentral's name for it is "tRNA-Leu". It matches the Rfam family "tRNA". Rfam says of the family: Transfer RNA (tRNA) molecules are approximately 80 nucleotides in length. Their secondary structure includes four short double-helical elements and three loops (D, anti-codon, and T loops). Lineage: Bacteria; Candidatus Kaiseribacteriota. The record is from RNAcentral.
GCCGCGGUGGCGGAAUUGGUAGACGCGAUGGAUUCAAAACCCAUUAACUUCGGUUGUGAGGGUUCAAGUCCCUCCCGCGGCA